RNAcentral lists this transfer RNA (66 nucleotides) under Nealotus tripes (black snake mackerel). RNAcentral's name for it is "tRNA-Cys". Lineage: Eukaryota; Metazoa; Chordata; Actinopteri; Scombriformes; Gempylidae. The record is from RNAcentral.
AGCCCUGAGGUGUUCGGCACGUAAGAUUGCAAAUCUUAAAGAGCGGACUAGCGUCGGCCGGGGCUU